ACCCGCUGAACUUAAGCAUAUCAAUAAGCGGAGGAAAAGAAACCAACAGGGAUUGCCCUAGUAACGGCGAGUGAAGCGGCAACAGCUCAAAUUUGAAAUCUGGCUCUUUUAGAGUCCGAGUUGUAAUUUGCAGAGGGCGCUUUGGCUUUGGCAGCGGUCCGAGUUCCUUGGAACAGGACGUCACAGAGGGUGAGAAUCCCGUACGUGGUCGCUGGCUAUUGCCGUGUAAAGCCCCUUCGACGAGUCGAGUUGUUUGGGAAUGCAGCUCUAAAUGGGAGGUACAUUUCUUCUAAAGCUAAAUAUUGGCCAGAGACCGAUAGCGCACAAGUAGAGUGAUCGAAAGAUGAAAAGCACUUUGGAAAGAGAGUCAAACAGCACGUGAAAUUGUUGAAAGGGAAGCGCUUGCAGCCAGACUUGCUUACAGUUGCUCAUCCGGGCUUUUGCCCGGUGCACUCUUCUGUAGGCAGGCCAGCAUCAGUUUGGGCGGUAGGAUAAAGGUCUCUGUCACGUACCUCUCUUCGGGGAGGCCUUAUAGGGGAGACGACAUACUACCAGCCUGGACUGAGGUCCGCGCAUCUGCUAGGAUGCUGGCGUAAUGGCUGU
This 603-nucleotide ribosomal RNA is filed under the name uncultured fungus. Its description in RNAcentral is "eukaryotic LSU rRNA". It matches the Rfam family "Eukaryotic large subunit ribosomal RNA", at positions 23 to 641 of the family's 3401-position model. Lineage: Eukaryota; Fungi. The record is from RNAcentral.